AACGCAUGCGUUCUCUCUUCUUCUCCUCGAUUCUUGUCAAAAACACAUAAAACCCAGUUCUCUUCUCACCAGUCUCACUCUGUAUCGCGACUCACUCUCUCUCUCUGCAGUUUUCAGUUUCUCUGGCGUCGCAUCUCCACCAGUCUGAUCACUCUCUCUCUCUCUCUCUCUCUCUCUCUCUCUCUUGCUACUUGCUAAUCUCAGUUCUCACUCACUCUAACUAAGAUGUCAAAAGUUGAAAAAAACCCUACUAGUAACGUGAAGAAUUUGAAUAUGAAUGUGAAUGAGAAUGAUAGUGUUGCUGGAAAUUGGUACACUUCAAUUGUUCAUAAUAUUUCAGUGUAUGGCGUUGCUGCUGGUUACUGUUUAUCUGCAUCUUUGCUGUCAAUUAUCAACAAAUGGGCUAUCAUGAAAUUUCCUUACCCGGGUGCGCUUACUGCGUUACAGUACUUCACCAGUGCUGCCGGAGUUUUGCUAUGUGGAUGGCUCAAGGUUGUCGAACAUGACAAGCUUGAUUUGAUGACAAUGUGGAGGUUUUUGCCGGCUGCUGUGAUUUUUUACCUGUCACUGUUUACUAACAGUGAGUUGCUGUUACAUGCCAAUGUAGAUACUUUCAUUGUGUUCCGAUCGGCUGUUCCAAUUUUUGUUGCUAUAGGGGAGUCAGUGUUUCUGCAUCGGCCGUGGCCGUCUUUGAAGACGUGGGCUUCGUUGGGAACUAUAUUCGCUGGAAGUGUGCUUUAUGUUGCAACUGAUUAUCAGUUUACUUUUGCGGCUUACAUGUGGGCGGUGGCGUAUUUGGUUAGUAUGACGAUAGAUUUUGUUUACAUAAAGCAUGUGGUUACGACGAUUGAAUUGAACACUUGGGGUCUUGUGUUGUACAAUAAUAUUGAGGCUCUUCUGCUUUUUCCGCUGGAAUUGUUGAUAAUGGGUGAGUUGAAGAAGAUACAACAUGAGAUCACUGAUGAGUCUGAUUGGCAUUCGUUCCCUGUGGUUUUGCCUGUGGCGUUGUCAUGCUUGUUUGGUCUCGCGAUCUCUUUCUUUGGAUUUUCGUGUCGCAGGGCUAUUUCUGCAACUGGAUUUACUGUUCUCGGUAUAGUGAAUAAGUUGUUGACGGUCAUGAUUAAUUUGGUGAUAUGGGAUAAGCACUCGACGUGGGUGGGUACAGUGGGACUUUUGAUUUGUAUGCUUGGUGGGGUUAUGUAUCAGCAAUCAACAAGUAAACCAAAGGCUGCAAUACAGGAAACUACACAAGAAGAUGAGGAACAGCUGAAGUUGCUUGAAAUGCAAGUCAAUUCUGAGACCAACAUUAGUGAUACUGAAAUUAAUAAAUCAAGGGAAGGAAAUUGAAAUUAUGUUUAUGUAACAAAAUUUCUAUACUUCCUCAAAAGUAUAUUUUUCACAGCUUUUACUGCCUUAAGAUACUUCACUGCAUCGUAGAGAAGUUUAGAAGAGCGGUUGUUUCCGGGGAUCUUCAUCAAUAUUCAGAAAAUAAGUGAUGGAAGGGAAGGAAGAUUGUGUUUUGCUUAUUGAGGAACGAGAAAACGAGGAACAGGCAUAACCCUAUUUUAUAGUGUGAAUCCUAAUCAACUCUGAAGCAAGGGAAGAUAAACAAUGCAGAGAGAGAAAGAAGAUACUGAUUUGGGUAAAAAAUAGUAGGCUUUUAAGUGCAGUUUUGCUUCCCCUAUUUUGACAGAAUUGGAAUUUUACCCCCUCCUAUUUUAAAACUUGGAAUUUUACCCCCCCAAUUUAAUGUUUUUUGGAAUUUUGCCCCCCCACCA
Molecule: RNA transcript, 1778 nt
Organism: Medicago truncatula (barrel medic)
Lineage: Eukaryota; Viridiplantae; Streptophyta; Magnoliopsida; Fabales; Fabaceae
Gene name: GDP-mannose transporter GONST3
Exons: 3
Source: RefSeq, a predicted model, not a curated record